GGGGUUGUGGCUCAGCAGUAGAGCAUUCGCCUAGCACGCGUGAGACCCUGGGUUCGAUCCUCAGCACCA
Ictidomys tridecemlineatus (thirteen-lined ground squirrel) is the source of this 69-nucleotide non-coding RNA. Lineage: Eukaryota; Metazoa; Chordata; Mammalia; Rodentia; Sciuridae. The record is from Rfam.